This is an RNA transcript of Xenopus tropicalis (tropical clawed frog), 5947 nucleotides long. It is a transcript of the gene named formin like 3, with no coding region annotated. NCBI's taxonomy places the organism in Eukaryota, Metazoa, Chordata, Amphibia, Anura, Pipidae. The record is from RefSeq and is a predicted model, not a curated record. The transcript is spliced from 28 exons.
AGUGAAGUAGGGGGCGGGGCCUCGUUUGUGAGGCAGGGGUGAAUGGAGCUGAGCUUAGUGUGGGCUGCGAGGCGGGACUCGCUAGUACAAAGGAUGGGUCCCGGAGACUUUGUAUUGGAGUAGCGGGGACGCGCACUGGAGGAGGGGGGGGACACCCGAUAUUUCGGGCUCGGAGUACCGGGAGGAUGGGGAACGCGGAAAGCGCCGGGGGGCCCCCGGGUACCGCGCUGCUGCCGCUUAAAGUCCCGAUGCCGGAGCCGGGAGAGUUGGAGGAAAGAUUCGCCAUGGUCCUGAGCUCCAUGAAUCUUCCUCCAGAUAAAGCCCGGCUCCUGCGGCAGUACGAUAACGAAAAGAAGUGGGAUCUUAUCUGUGACCAGGAGCGCUUUCAAGUGAAAAAUCCACCGCAUACUUACAUCCAGAAACUACAGUCCUUUUUAGACCCUGGUGUCACACGAAAGAAAUUUAGGAGAAGAGUACAAGAAUCCACGAAAGUUCUGCGUGAGCUAGAAAUCUCUCUCCGCACCAACCAUAUUGGGUGGGUCCGGGAGUUUCUGAACAAUGACAAUAAAGGCCUGGACGUGCUGGUGGAGUACCUUUCUUUUGCACAGUGCGCUGUCAUGUUUGAUUUUGAGGGCCUGGAAAAUGGGGAGGAUGGCUUAGUAGAAAAGUCCAAACCAUGGAGCAGAUCCAUCGAGGAUCUGCAGCAUCCCAACUCCCUGCCUACCCCUUUCGCCAACGGCCUCGCUCGCUCUGCCCGCCAGUCUGUGCUCCGCAGCUACAAUACGUUACCUGGCAAAAAGGCAUUGAAGAACUCGAGGCUGGUCAGCCAGAAGGAUGAUGUCCAUGUGUGCAUCAUGUGCCUCAGGGCUAUCAUGAACUAUCAGUAUGGCUUUAACUUAGUAAUGUCCCAUCCUCAUGCCGUGAAUGAAAUUGCUCUUAGUUUAAACAACAAGAACCCAAGGACCAAAGCUUUAGUACUAGAACUCCUGGCUGCUGUGUGCUUGGUUAGAGGAGGCCAUGAAAUCAUCCUGUCGGCUUUUGACAACUUCAAAGAGGUCUGCAAGGAAACACAUCGGUUUGAGAAACUCAUGGAGUAUUUUAGAAAUGAAGACAGCAAUAUUGACUUCAUGGUUGCUUGCAUGCAGUUUAUAAACAUCGUUGUACACUCAGUGGAGGAUAUGAAUUUCCGUGUCCAUCUGCAAUUUGAAUUUACAAAGUUGGGCCUUGAAGAUUUUUUGGAGAAGGCUAAGCACACAGAGAGCGAGAAGCUGUUGGUGCAGAUCCAGGCUUAUCUGGACAACGUGUUUGAUGUUGGUGGCUUGCUUGAAGAUGCUGAGACCAAGAAUGUUGCACUUGAGAAGGUGGAGGAGCUGGAGGAGCAAUUGUCCCAUAUGACUGAAAAGUUACUGGACCUGGAAAAUGAGAACAUAAUGCGGGUGGCAGAAUUGGAGAAAACACUCCUACACAGGGAAAAGGAACUGACAGUUCUCAAGGAAACUUAUGAGAAUGCAAAUCAUCAGGUUCACACACUAAGGAGAAUCAUCAAGGAGAAAGAAGAGGCAUUUCAGCAUCUCCGUCAGCUGGAGCAGGCCAAUACUUCCCAGCCUGCUGGCAGUACACUUCCACUUUCAGCUACCUCCAUUGGAGAUAUUUCUUUGUCUGCUGAACUUCUACCACCCCCUGCCUCUGCCUCUGUUCCUGCACCGCCCCCACCCCCUCCUCCUCCUCCACCUCCUCCACCACCACCACCACCGCCACCUCCUCCAAUGCCAAGCAAGUGCCCUCCUCCACCACCCUUACCAUCUUCUUCACCAUCUGUAAUACUUACCACAGGCUUAUCAGCAAUCCGAAUUAAAAAACCAAUCAAAACUAAGUUCCGCCUGCCGGUGUUCAACUGGACGGCCCUGAAGCCCAAUCAGAUCAGUGGAACUGUGUUCAAUGACCUUGAUGAUGAGAGGAUAUUGCAGGAUUUGGAUAUGGAUAAGUUUGAAGAACUCUUUAAGACAAAAGCACAAGGACCUGCCAUAGACUUAACAUGCCCCAAAAACAAAACAUCUCAGCGAUCUGCCAGCAAAGUGACUCUUCUUGAAGCAAACAGAGCCAAAAACCUUGCUAUCACCCUACGGAAAGCUGGAAGGAGCUCAGAAGAGAUCUGCAAAGCCAUCCAAACGUUUGACUUGCGGACACUACCUGUGGACUUUGUGGAGUGUCUGGUGCGUUUCCUGCCCACAGAAGCAGAGGUGAAGCUGCUGCGUCAGUACGAGAGGGAGCGUAAGCCUCUAGAGGACCUGUCUGAUGAGGACCGUUUCAUGAUGCUUUUCAGUAAAGUGGAACGUCUUUCCCAGCGCAUGUCCAUCAUGACCUUCUUGGGCAAUUUCAAUGAGAACCUGCAGCUGCUUACCCCACAACUAAAUGCUGUGAUUGCGGCAUCUGUGUCUGUAAAGUCAUCCCCAAAGCUAAAACAAAUGCUCGAAGUUAUACUUGCUUUGGGUAAUUAUAUGAACAGCAGCAAAAGAGGGUCGGUGUAUGGCUUCAAACUACAGAGCUUGGAUCUGCUCCAAGACACAAAAUCAACUGACCGAAAGCUCACACUCCUUAACUAUAUUGCGCUAAUUGCCAAGGAGAAAUACUCUGAAGUGGCCACUUUCUAUAAUGAGCUACAUUUUGUGGAAAAAGCAGCAGCAGUCUCUUUAGAGAAUGUCCUGCUGGAUGUGAAGGAGUUGGGUAAAGGCAUGGAUCUGAUUCGGAAAGAAAGCCAUCACCAUGAUAACACUUUCCUAAGGAACUUUGUGAGCUCUAAUGAAGGAAAACUAGACAAGCUGCAGAAAGAUGCACGAACCGCUGAGGAAGCAUAUGCAGCUGUGGUGCUCUAUUUUGGAGAAAAUCCAAAGACAACUCCGCCUUCUGUUUUCUUUCCCGUAUUUGCACGUUUCAUCAAAUCGUACAAGGAAGCUGAACUGGAGAAUGAGAUGCGCAAGAAGCAAGAAGAGGUUCUUCGAGAGAAGAUGCUAGCGCAAGAAGCAAAGAAAUUGGACCCCAAGUCCCCAGUGCAGAAAAAUAAACGCCAGCAGCAAGACCUGAUUGCAGAGCUGCGCAGAAGGCAGGCAAAAGAUCACCGGCCUGUUUAUGAAGGGAAGGAUGGAACUAUUGAGGACAUUAUCACAGUCCUGAAGAGUGUCCCCUUCACAGCGAGAACAGCCAAGCGGGGCUCUCGGUUCUUCUGUGAUACAUCCCUUUUUGAGGAUUCAAACUGUUAAACCCCAGUGCCUUAACUCGUAUGGAAAGAUUAGAACCCAGGAAGAAACACUUCUAGUUUCCAUUUUUUUGCAGAGGACCUUCGGAAUCAGCCGUAUAGGCGCGCAGAUGCAGUUCUCCGGCAUGCCUGGCGGCGAAUCUAGCACGUACAAGACCAGAAGUCUUUUGGGCUUUGCUCCAGUCUCAUCUUAGUGGCUUGGCCUAUAAUCGAGAUGGACUUAUCAGAUCUCUCUGCACUCCUUCCUCCAUUCCAUGUUUCAAAGGAAAUGAAGAAGCCAGGACACUUUAUGAAGUGCCUUAAAUUUCAGUAUUACUGGACUAUUUUUUCUUUUACUAUUUAUAUAUUUUUAUUGGUUUUUACUGUUAAUUGUGUAAAUAUUUUUGUAACGUUCUUCAUCCAACCAGUAUGUGGCAGCUGCUGUGGCAUAACUGGCCGGAAAAGGAGAAGAAAAAGAAGUGCCUUGAAAGUGUUUUUUAUAGAGUUUUUAUACGGAAGUGAAUCGACUCAACACUAAAAUUUUAUAAGACUGAAGUCUUACUCAUUGAAAAGGGCUAGUAAAUGAGAGCCUGUGUUUGGGUUAGCUUUAAUAGAGGUAUUAUUUAUCUUCUGUACUUGCUGUAUGGAUGGUAAACUAAAGGGAAAGUGCCAAAUUUAGUAGACUGCCUUAGAAAGUUGUUAGAAAGACAAGUUUCUGUGCAAGCAAAAAUAGUUCCUUGGUGGAAUACUAUAGCCAGAGAACACCCUGGUACCAGUUCCCCCCAGUGAUCGUCUGCACCAGUUCUUAUGCUCUUUCAGCUGUGUUCUGCAAUGACACUAAGUCAGGGUAUUCGUGAGUGAAGAUGGGAAGCCCUUAGCUAAUACUGUUUUCUGCUCACCAACCUUAGUUGCAACUCAGUAGCUAGCUUUUACGCUUUAGUUUUCUUACCCUGAAUAUUUUAUUUGUUUUCAUUAAUAUAAGAGUAUUUGAGCUUUUGCGGUCUUAUCUGGUUACUCCAAGUUCCACCUCCUUAGAGCACCAAGUCCUUUGUUAAAUUAUUGGGCCAUUGGUCUGGCCAUCUUUUAUGCUAUGUAGAAGCACUAGAAGCAAUGUUUAUACAAGAUGUUGCUGGGUGGACAACAAAGCAAUUUCUUAUAGAUGUUCAGAUGUAUAGUUGUCUGUAUUACAACUGAGUGGCACAAGUUUUCCUUGCUUUUGGCGAUGGCACUGAUCCUUUCCAUGUGCCACAAAGCCUAUUAAUAUUCAUAGGAUUUGUGGCACAUGGAAAUUUUCAUCUGGAAUUCUAUUUUUGUUCGUUUGAUCAAAAUGGAUAAAGUAGGAUAGGGCCAAUUGCAAUGGAACACUUGGACCUGCUCCUGGGGGAUGGGGGUUACUGAGAGGAGACCAAAUGAAUGACCCUGUGUGAUUAAGCUCAUUUGAAACAAUGAACUUAUAUUCAGUGACCAAACCAAAUCCUUCGUACUGGAAAUGCACAUUUUCUUAGUCUGCAGCUUGGCGCACUGAGCCAUGUUUAGCGUUUAAUCAUUUUGAGGCAUAUUUAUUAUAGUGUGUCAGCCAACAUCACCGGUGAUGUUGCACAUAGCAACCAAUCAGAUCUUUGCUUUCUAAUUUGUAGGUGAAUGUUUAAAUCUAAUUGCGGAUUGGUUGCUCUGAGCAACAUCACUGGUGAUAUUGGCUGACAGUAUAUAAAUAUGCCCCUUUAUGUAGUGACCAACCUGUCCUGACUGCUCUGGACCUUCCACCCCUGUAGGGGUUUUCAGUGUAAGUAAUUGGUGAUUAGGUUCCUGUCUCCUGUGUUUAGUUACAUGGGCCUAUGUUUGAAACGACCAAAUAGUCAGUGGGAUAGAUUAAGCACCUUGGGUUAUUCUUUGUGCCCUCGAGGACCAUACAAAUAUCAUCUUACAAAAUGCUUUGUAGUAUUAUGAUGCACCUUUAGCCCAAGCUAAGUACCAGAGGUUCCUGACAAGCAGGGACUCUAGGAAAUACACUAAAGUAAUGAUAUCAUGCCUCUGGCAUUCUUUGAGGCUACAAGAGUAGUUUGAAUAUGCAAUAAAUGACGUCUCCUAAUACUUUUAUUGCUGUUUAUGCCAAGGCUCUUGUAGGCAGAGCUGACUUUAGAAAUUACCUGUGUUGCUCUUGUAGAAAUUUUAGCCCUUUUUCAGAUUGAAUUUUAUCUUCGUAUUCAUGUCUAUGCCUCCACCAAACCAAGACUGCUGUUGUAAAGUCUGAUAUUGUAAAUUAUUAUUGGCUGUUCAGCAAUCAUUUAACUCUGUUACAGACCUCCAUUCCAGUGGGCAUAGUUUAAAUACCAGUUGUUUUCCCUACAUUCAUCUCUUUCAGUUAUUUUCAAUGUAUCAUUUACAGUUUAACUUGUAAGCAUUCCAUUGUAUCGCCUUCAUGUAACUUUUUUGUGCAUGUAAAAUACAUUCCUGACUUGCCAGAGAUCAGUCUGUAACUCAUUGCAAAUGAAAUCUAUGCACAGCUUUGCAUUGGGGCCCUCUCUGGCAUUGCAGGGAGGGACUGUACCUUUUUCCAGUGUAUUAAUCCUGUACAGUAUAUUAUUGCUAAUAUAAAGCCAGUACUUGUUUGCUAUGGGUUCUUUUCCUGUCUCAUUGUCAGAUUUUAAGGAAAUUGUUCUUGCUCUCUUUUUAUGUCUAGUCAACAAUAAAGAUGGAGAGCCUAACUUGCAGUUA